Molecule: non-coding RNA, 73 nt
Organism: Ciona savignyi (Pacific transparent sea squirt)
Lineage: Eukaryota; Metazoa; Chordata; Ascidiacea; Phlebobranchia; Cionidae
Source: Rfam
GGGGGUGUAGCUCAGAUGGUAGAGCGCGCGCUUAGCAUGCGAGAGAUUCCGGGAUCGAUACCCGGCACCUCCA